UACCCUUAUCUACUAUCUAGAGUAACCACAGCCUAAAAAGUGGGUGUAACAGAAUUAGUGGGAAAAAUAGACCGUGAUGAACUUGACUUUAGUUCAACUUUAUGGGGAAAUAUGAUAGAAGUAGAAUAGGUGAGAGCUUGGUGCUUCGGUGUUUGGUGUCGAUGAAAUACCACUACAGUCAUCGCUUCUUUGCUUAUUCAUAGAUACGGAAACGAAAUUGUAUUUUGAUGCUAAUGCAUCAUCGUAAUACCAGGUAGGUCAUAGUGCAGAUUAUGGUACUUGUGUUUUGAUGUGAUGAUGUACGACCUCUUCUGAAGACCAUGUCCGACAGAGAGUUUGACUGCGGCAGUAUUUUCAUCAAAUGGUAACGCAGGUGUUUUUUAUGGUGAGUUCACAUGAGACGGAAACCUGACAUUAGAGUAAAAGAGCAAAAUCGUACUUGGUUUUAAUUUUUAGUUAAGAAUGCAAAUCAUGAGAGCGUCACUUAUCGAUCCUUUUAAAUGUUCCUUGUGCUGACCAAGCGUUCAUUAUAACGUCAUUGUUUAAUCUUCCGAUGUCGACUCUUCUUGUCAUAUUGAAGUAUAAUUCAUUAAGCUUUGGAUUGUUUGCUCACU
This 614-nucleotide non-coding RNA is filed under the name Trichobilharzia regenti. RNAcentral's name for it is "Eukaryotic large subunit ribosomal RNA". It matches the Rfam family "Eukaryotic large subunit ribosomal RNA", at positions 2340 to 2941 of the family's 3401-position model. The record is from Rfam by way of RNAcentral. Lineage: Eukaryota; Metazoa; Platyhelminthes; Trematoda; Strigeidida; Schistosomatidae.